This is a ribosomal RNA of Fistulifera solaris, 219 nucleotides long. It matches the Rfam family "Eukaryotic small subunit ribosomal RNA", at positions 1 to 231 of the family's 1831-position model. NCBI's taxonomy places the organism in Eukaryota, Bacillariophyta, Bacillariophyceae, Naviculales, Stauroneidaceae. The record is from Rfam.
AACCUGGUUGAUUCUGCCAGUAGUCAUACGCUCGUCUCAAAGAUUAAGCCAUGCAUGUCUAAGUAUAAAUCUUUUACUUUGAAACUGCGAACGGCUCAUUAUAUCAGUUAUAGUUUAUUUGAUAGUCCCUUACUACUCGGAUAACCGUAGUAAUUCUAGAGCUAAUACGUGCGUCAAUACUCUUCGGAGUAGUAUUUAUUAGAUGGAAACCAACUGCCU